Molecule: ribosomal RNA, 276 nt
Filed under: uncultured bacterium
Lineage: Bacteria
Description: partial 16S ribosomal RNA
Rfam family: Bacterial small subunit ribosomal RNA
Source: RNAcentral
CAGCAGCCGCGGUAAUACGGAGGGUGCAAGCGUUAAUCGGAAUUACUGGGCGUAAAGCGCACGCAGGCGGUUUGUUAAGUCAGAUGUGAAAUCCCCGGGCUCAACCUGGGAACUGCAUCUGAUACUGGCAAGCUUGGGUCUCGUAGAGGGGGGUAGAAUUCCAGGUGUAGCGGUGAAAUGCGUAGAGAUCUGGAGGAAUACCGGUGGCGAAGGCGGCCCCCUGGACGAAGACUGACGCUCAGGUGCGAAAGCGUGUGGAGCAAACAGGAUUUAACA